GUCCACUAUUAUCUGCAGUCGCACAUUCAAAUCAAUGAAUUCUACCGAGGAGUUCGUGAUUCGCAGCUGAUCGGAUUAUCCGGUUACACAAAAGAGGGCCUUCUGGUUUUUGCUAUCGGUGUAGGCCUCAGCACAUUUGACAAAGCAUCCGUAAGACUUCGUUAUACUGAAUUGUGAUCGUGUGAUUCUGGUGCAGUCGCACAUUCGAUGAGCCACGUGCAGAGAACCUAAAGAUUGCAGCUUAUAGAACUCUUCUUGGACAUACUGCUUCUGUGCAAAGUGUUGCAGCACAGCCUACUGCGAAUAUGGUGUGUUCUGGUUCUUGGGAUU
This is a long non-coding RNA of Helianthus annuus (common sunflower), 330 nucleotides long. RefSeq lists it as uncharacterized. NCBI's taxonomy places the organism in Eukaryota, Viridiplantae, Streptophyta, Magnoliopsida, Asterales, Asteraceae. The transcript has 4 exons. The record is from RefSeq and is a predicted model, not a curated record.